RNAcentral lists this long non-coding RNA (1054 nucleotides) under Homo sapiens (human). RNAcentral describes it as "novel transcript". The record is from RNAcentral. Lineage: Eukaryota; Metazoa; Chordata; Mammalia; Primates; Hominidae.
AGUUGAUCUCUGAGAAGUGAGUAGCUGGAGGCACCAGGAUACCAGCCAAGCCUAAAGGAUAAAGCAAAUCCCUGGACAUGGCUUUUGAUUCCAAGCUAAGAAGUGCAAGAAGCUCUUCCAAAUACAACUGCAACUGCCAAGAGAUUGAUGGACCAGAGAAUGGCCUCUUCAUUCCAGGCACUUCUAAAGUCCAAGUGGUCAAAUACCAGCCUCUUUUUACCAAUGUUCCCACCUGUUUCAUUCAGCCAAAUUUCAUUAGAUGAAGGAAGGUGGUGCAUUCUUGAGAUUGAGAAUACAGAUGAGAAGCAGGUUUGAAUGGUGAAGAAAUGAUGGACGCUGUUUGUCUCAAACAAGGACUCUAAUGAUACAACAGAACAAGUCACAAGAAAGCUUGCCUGGAAAACCAUACACUGGCCUCUUCGUGGUGAAGUCCUUCACAAUCCUUACAAACAUAGAAAAUAUUCAGCAAUUCGUUUGUUUGUUUUCCAGUCCACUCUUACUUGAGAAAAAUGCAAAACAUCAAAGACACAGAAAAACCACCAGUCUAUACAGCUUGCCCAUACUAAAUUGUUAUUCAUUUCAGAAGAGUGUACAGUUUCUUUCUGGAAAGAAGCAUGGGUUAAAGAAGAUACUGGUGCAAAAGGAAGAGCAAUUAUCUUAAAUUUGGGACAAAGGCAAUGGAGGAGAAAGUUGACUCUCUGGAAAAUCUGACUGGUGCUCUUUCCUCGUGUGCUCCAAGAACUUAAAAGCCAAUUGUGAUGUUUCCAAAAUAAAGUACAGAGAAAGACACUUCUAUUUCAUUCCUCUUUCCCAGUGGCAGAUUAUUUGUAUCCAAGCUUCAUGGAAUUUACCCGAGAUGGGAUAAAUAUAAUUUUGUGUUUUUUAACAGAAUAAGGUUUAUCUCUCCACAGUUUCCAUGUAAAAUUCUUUUUUUCCUACAACCAACUGGGUACCUUCUACUUUUUCUGUGAAGGCAUUUAUUUCUGGCUGGUCAAUCUGAAUUGUUCCAUUAUCUUGCUACCCACUAGUGAUGAAUAAACUUCCUUAUUUCUGA